GGCACUGGUGGUGGCACGCCCAUGCUUCUGGGCCGGGGUUCGAGUCCCCGCAGUACC
This is a small RNA of Cricetulus griseus (Chinese hamster), 57 nucleotides long. The record is from Ensembl. Lineage: Eukaryota; Metazoa; Chordata; Mammalia; Rodentia; Cricetidae.